Molecule: long non-coding RNA, 2481 nt
Filed under: Anneissia japonica
Lineage: Eukaryota; Metazoa; Echinodermata; Crinoidea; Comatulida; Comatulidae
Description: uncharacterized LOC117103216
Source: RNAcentral
AAAUGAUUAUGCUUACAAAAUUUAAGAAAACAUAUAAAAUUUAAUGUAAAUGUGUAUAUUAUUCAUGUUUAUUUAUAAAUAUAUAUUUACUUAAACCCAACCACACACAUAAAUCCCUUUUGAAAAUGGUAUAGACCCAUAAACAAAAUCGACCAAAAACCAGGAAGCCCGCUAAACACCAAUCUACAAGCUUCAAGAACGCUCUAAUAACUACUAUAUAGCACGCCUUUUGCACACAAGUCCGUAUAUGGAACAUUAUUAAAAACUAAGUAUGGCUAUCAAACAACCAAGAUUCAUUUAAAGCAAUAUAGCUAUUUUAUUUCAAUUUUUGUUCCAGUUUGUAUGCCGUAACGUAUAUAAAAACUGUGCAGCUCGCACAUCGCAGCGAUGUGAGUUACAACCCCGACACUCGUCAACGUUGUGCACACUGACAGUACCCUGGAAAAGUCGGUGGGUGGAAACAUAGUGCAACCCCAUCACAGCCCGUCAAUAGCAAGUUGGGGUAUCAAGGAUGGCUGGCGAGAAUGGUCAGCUUUUGGUUCAGAACCGGAAUGGAAAAUGCUGAGCCAAACCACCUUCACUUUUAGCCUUAUUGAAAGUGGGUAACAAGAUAACAAUAGAAUAACAUUAAGAAAGUCUGAAGCCUACUCAUUGAUUGUCAACAACAUAUUACAACUUUGAUGGUGUAACAGUAAACAACCCUAUUUUAUACAUACAAGAUACAGGGCAGACAGACAGAUAACCCAGAUCCUUUCAACCUGCUUUUGAAUUCUGGAGCUCUUCAUUCUAAUACUGCAAUUUAGCAGUGUCUUCACUUUACAAUGGUCAACUUUUUUAAUCAGUGGCUGAGUUAACCCCUAUGAAAAUGCAUCCUGUUGGACUUCAGUCAGUUUGCAGAGACAGAAAUUUGAACAAGAUAAAAUUAUGUAUAUUUAUGGCAUAAAUUUGUAAAAAAAGCUCAUGUUUGUUGUGUCUGUUGUUCAUAAAAAAUGUCCUAUUGGAUAAGUUCCCAGCUAAUAAUUUGUUAGAACAAAGUUACAAUAGCGAUGCACUUUGGUUUUCAAAAUGUUUUUCUGUAGAACCAUCAAUACAUAUUUUUUUAUAUUUUUGUUUGCUUUUUUUGUGGCAGAGGGGGACUUAUCUGGCCACAAAUAAAAUUUCAUUUUCAAUCGAAAUCGCCAUUAUUGGUGGUUUCACUAAACAAGGUAUAAAAGUCUUGCCUUUAAUAUCUUAAAUUUCAAAAAUUAUAUUUUUAUACCUUAGUUAAUAAUAAUAGUGUAGAUUUGUAGAGCGCUGGUAUCUAUAAAACAAGAUGCUUAUGGCGCUUGAUAUAUGGACUAAGAACUUGAUAAUAAUAAUAUUUAUAUAGCUCAAUAUAUUUAAUAUUGAUCAAUAACUUUCUUUGCCCCCAAGGGUCCCUUUGUGUCUGUGCUACCCGGUUACCCGGUACCAGCAGCUCUCGUCGUCCACCACAGGGGCCAGGGGCGUAGCGUGGGGGAGUCGAUGGGUGCGGUCGACCCCCCCUUUUAAAGAAAGUGCCCUUUAAAUAUGCUCGCUUCACACACAAAUAACGCACCCCGCUAAUUCUGAAAGCUUCGCUAAAUUGCUCUGAGUUCAGCUUGCGCCCCGCGCUUUCGUUUCGACCCCCCCUCUUUAAUUUUUAACCGUAUGCCCCUGGGGCCUGUCUGUACCAGUAAACAGGUGUGUACCAGUAAACAGGUGUAUCCCCCUACUCAUUUUGAAUGAUGUACUGGGUUCUUUAUAGUGCACAAUCCGUACGGAUUAUAGUCCUUAUCCGACAAGAUUUGUUCUACAACCAGAAUCAUAGGCGAGUAUGCUGUUCGAACCAGCGACGAUAUCAAUGGCUGUACGUUGCAACGCCCCUGGCUUAACCGCUCGGCCAUUUGACUGGCCUAUAAUGAGUUAAAUUGCACUAAAAAUAAAUUGAUAAACAAAUAAAAAUUAAAUUUUUACUCUUUUAAAUUGUAUUUUUUGUACAAUUUAUGACUGUUUUUUUCUAUGUUUUUUUUUAUGCGACACUAACAAGAGACAGAGUUUCACAUUUUUAAAUUCCAAUAAUUAUAUUUUUAUACCUUAAUGAGAUAAACUGCACUAAACAUAAAUUAAUAAACAAAUAAAAAUUAAAUUUUUAUUCUUUUUAAAUUGUAAUUUUUGUACAUUUUGUAUUUUUAUGACUUCGUUUUUCUGUAUGUUUUAUAUUUUUUUUUAUUUGAUUGCAACGAGAAACAGAGUCACAUUUUCUUGAUGUGAAAAUAAGGUAUAUUUAUGUCUAUGUAAUGUAUCCAAAACCUUCACAACAUUUCCAACAUUACCAUUUUGUGUUUUAAAGGGUUACAGUAGUUAUGCACCACAUGUACCCGUAGCAUAUUUUUUAAAGAUACUUGAAAGGAUCCCUCAGUUGGGACAUCGAAGGCGGAGGUAAUGUACUGUAACCUAACAUUGGAACAUAUGAUUAACAUA